RNAcentral lists this long non-coding RNA (655 nucleotides) under Neogale vison (American mink). RNAcentral's name for it is "Neovison vison (American mink) lncRNA (ENSNVIG00000009160.1)". Lineage: Eukaryota; Metazoa; Chordata; Mammalia; Carnivora; Mustelidae. The record is from RNAcentral.
GCCGCCUGUAGACCAGGCGUGGCGGGACGCUAAAGGACUGGGUUCUUCGGGGUGGUCGGAGAGGGGACAGGCCGGCCCUCGGGAAAUGGUGACCUGGGACACAAGCGCCCUUUUGCCCAGAAGACGCUGGUCUCCGCUGCGCCGGCCCGCAGGCUCCGCGGGGCCUGCCCCGCCGGGUUUCGCCUCGCCCCCCAUCGCUCAUUGGCUCCCCCGGGACACGUGGGUGGGGGAGGAGGCGUGGACACAGCGGCGUGGGCCGGCCGCCGGGUGGGAUGAGAGGCCCGCGGACUCGGGCGUGGGGCCGCAUGGACACGCUGGUGCUGGGCCGGUGGCGACGGCGGAGGGCGGAGGAGCUUCAGGUUCCGGGGGACGCGAAACGGGCAUGCAGGAGAGGAGAGGCGGCCGGGCCGGAGUGGGCCUGCCCCCCCACAAACCUCAGCGCCCCGGUGUCCUGGAGUGGUGAGGGGCGGCCACGUGUCGGGAUUCCUCACAACGGUGGAGGGAGCUCGGCCCAGCCUUGCCCGAGAUGUAUUGCGGGGGAGUCUGUAAGUGCAUUAACCUUCUUGUGUGACAUAAAAGACAGACUUGUUCGUAAAUAUUAGAUCCAUAAAACAAAGUUAAUAAAAAUGGCAAUUACAUUUCUAAGGAAUGAGGG